CUACGGGCCGCAGCAGUGAGGAAUUUUGCGCAAUGGGGGAAACCCUGACGCAGCAACGCCGCGUGAGUGAUGAAGGCCCUCGGGUCGUAAAGCUCUGUCAAGUGGGAAGAAUCUAUCGAUAUUGAAUAGAUAUUGAUACUGACGGUACCACAAGAGGAAGCACCGGCUAACUCCGUGCCAGCAGCCGCGGUAAUACGGGGGGUGCAAGCGUUAUUCGGAAUCAUUGGGCGUAAAGGGCGCGCAGGCGGCCUUGUCAGUCAGAUGUGAAAGCCCGGGGCUCAACCCCGGAAGUGCAUUUGAAACUAUGAGGCUUGAGUAUGGGAGAGGGAAGUGGAAUUCCUGGUGUAGCGGUGAAAUGCGUAGAUAUCAGGAGGAACACCGGUGGCGAAGGCGACUUCCUGGACCAAUACUGACGCUGAGGCGCGAAGGCGUGGGGAGCAAACAGGAUUAGAUACCCGCGUAGUC
This 465-nucleotide ribosomal RNA is filed under the name uncultured bacterium. RNAcentral describes it as "partial 16S ribosomal RNA". It matches the Rfam family "Bacterial small subunit ribosomal RNA", at positions 339 to 795 of the family's 1533-position model. The record is from RNAcentral.